GGUAUACAGCUCUGUUAAACGAUAGCUACUUUGUGAUUACCAAAUGAACAGUUACGAUAAAACUCGCUUUGAUGUUUUGUCACACCUAACCGAUAUUCCAAUGCUUGGAAAACAAUAUGUUCCAGGUAUGGUUUACUAAAACACAAAUUAUUAACGGGCUAAAAAAAUUUCAAUUUGAUUUACAGGACUCUGGAAACAGUUUGAAGAUGGUCACGUGACAAGCAGACAUGAACAAUCGACUGAACAUCGGGUCGGACAAGAAUCAAUAAGUCAAAGAAAUAUUACCGAAACAUCGCCAAGCACUCAGAGAACGCGGAUGAACGCCACUUUGGAGAAUGAGAGAGGACUCACUCGAUCUACAGAAAAGG
This 368-nucleotide small RNA is filed under the name Caenorhabditis elegans. RNAcentral's name for it is "Unclassified non-coding RNA C24A8.14". Lineage: Eukaryota; Metazoa; Nematoda; Chromadorea; Rhabditida; Rhabditidae. The record is from RNAcentral.